GCCGGGUGUGGUGGCGCACGCCUAUAAUCCCAGCUACUUGGGAGGCUGAGGCAGGAGAAUUGCUUGAACCCAGGAGGCAGACGUUGCAGUGAGCCGAGAUUGUGCCACUGCACUCCAGCCUGGGCAACAGAGCAAGACUCCGUCUCAA
This is a non-coding RNA of Pan troglodytes (chimpanzee), 148 nucleotides long. It matches the Rfam family "Metazoan signal recognition particle RNA". From Rfam's summary of the family: The signal recognition particle (SRP) is a universally conserved ribonucleoprotein. It is involved in the co-translational targeting of proteins to membranes. The eukaryotic SRP consists of a 300-nucleotide 7S RNA and six proteins: SRPs 72, 68, 54, 19, 14, and 9. The record is from Rfam. NCBI's taxonomy places the organism in Eukaryota, Metazoa, Chordata, Mammalia, Primates, Hominidae.